This 691-nucleotide ribosomal RNA is filed under the name uncultured bacterium. RNAcentral's name for it is "bacterial SSU rRNA". It matches the Rfam family "Bacterial small subunit ribosomal RNA", at positions 9 to 744 of the family's 1533-position model. The record is from RNAcentral.
GAGUUUGAUCCUGGCUCAGAACGAACGCUGGCGGCAGGCUUAACACAUGCAAGUCGAACGCUCGUAGCAAUACGGGAGUGGCAGACGGGUGAGUAACGCGUGGGAACAUACCCUCCGGUUCGGAAUAGCUCAGGGAAACUUGGAUUAAUACCGGAUACGGCUGAGAGGCGAAAGAUUUAUCGCCGGAGGAUUGGCCCGCGUUCGAUUAGCUUGUUGGUGAGGUAACGGCUCACCAAGGCGAUGAUCGAUAGCUGGUCUGAGAGGAUGAUCAGCCACAUUGGGACUGAGACACGGCCCAAACUCCUACGGGAGGCAGCAGUGGGGAAUAUUGGACAAUGGGCGCAAGCCUGAUCCAGCCAUGCCGCGUGAGUGAUGACGGCCUUAGGGUUGUAAAGCUCUUUCGCUCGGGACGAUAAUGACGGUACCGAGAUAAGAAGCCCCGGCUAACUUCGUGCCAGCAGCCGCGGUAAUACGAAGGGGGCUAGCGUUGUUCGGAAUUACUGGGCGUAAAGCGCGCGUAGGCGGGUCUUUAAGUCAGGGGUGAAAUGCCAAGGCUCAACCUUGGAACUGCCUUUGAUACUGGAGAUCUUGAGUCCGGGAGAGGUGAGUGGAAUUGCGAGUGUAGAGGUGAAAUUCGUAGAUAUUCGCAAGAACACCAGUGGCGAAGGCGGCUCACUGGCCCGGAGCUGAC